This 441-nucleotide unclassified non-coding RNA is filed under the name uncultured marine bacterium 311. Its description in RNAcentral is "partial 16S-23S ribosomal RNA intergenic spacer". The record is from RNAcentral.
CCUCCUUAAAAAAUAAUCGCUUAGGAUAGGCGUUCACACGAAUAACUUGCUUUUACCAAAAUCAUUUCUUUACAGAUUUGAGAUUAAGGAGCGUUCUUUAACAUUUUUAUAAGUUCAAUCAAGUCACAUCAUAGUGUCUUAGUUUUUUAAUUUAGAUAUGAAUGAUGUGCAAAUGUCACCAAACCCGUCAUGUUUUAGAACAUAAGUUUGGUGUACAUACUGCAAAGUAAUUUUGGCGAAUGACAAUAGAUACUUGAAGAACAUUAAUCAUUAAGUUGUUUGAUGUAAUAUGGUCAAGUCAAUUAAGCGCAUACGGUGGAUGCCUUGGGCAAAGGGCGAAAUUCUGCCAUAUAUUCCAUCACCACUGGCCGGCCCGCUUCAAGCCUUGCCUUCUAAAAGGGGGCCCAAAUUCCGCCCUUAUAAGUGAGUCCUAUUUACAAA